CCCGUAGUUCAGUUGGUUAGAGCGUCAGAUUGUGGUUCUGAAUGUCGACGGUUCGAGUCCGUCCGGG
This 67-nucleotide transfer RNA is filed under the name Prevotella sp. Its description in RNAcentral is "tRNA-His". It matches the Rfam family "tRNA". Rfam says of the family: Transfer RNA (tRNA) molecules are approximately 80 nucleotides in length. Their secondary structure includes four short double-helical elements and three loops (D, anti-codon, and T loops). Lineage: Bacteria; Pseudomonadati; Bacteroidota; Bacteroidia; Bacteroidales; Prevotellaceae. The record is from RNAcentral.